Molecule: long non-coding RNA, 1480 nt
Organism: Orbicella faveolata
Lineage: Eukaryota; Metazoa; Cnidaria; Anthozoa; Scleractinia; Merulinidae
Source: RefSeq, a predicted model, not a curated record
UCGCUUAACGGGCCCGAAAAGUUUCCGGGGCUUUCGAGAAACGGGCCCCAGGUGACACACAGCAAUAGACAGCCGAAAAAUAUCCCAAUUUUCGUCCCUUGACAGGCCGCCCAGCUUUACCAAUAGCUUAACCACUAUUUUGGAUAGCUAACUGAUGGAGUCUAUUAUGCCUGUUUUUAGGUAACAUUGACCGGGAAUUGUUCCAUAUAUUACUAAAAAUAUUUCUUGAGUUUUCUUAGAGCACAUCCGUUUUAAAAGACUGCAUUCAGCCAGCUUUGAAUUUAAUUUUAUGACUAUCCUCGCACAAAUAUUCCGUUGAUUGAGGAUAAAUUGAAUUGAGGUUAGAAAAUCUGCAGCAAAUACGUAUGUCACAUGCGGUUUUAUGGAGUAUCCCAUGAUACACUAAAAGCACAAUUUAAGGUCACGUGGCCAGAAGCAUGAUGUCUUCGAAAAUAUGGCGGGUGUUUUGUCUUGCAAGAAUGAAAUACAUUGAACUGAAAGGAGCCUAGAUUUUUAAGACAGGGACAGGAUGAUAUCACCAGGGAAACUAUGAUUGGUACAUGUAGAGAUCAAGGAAUUCUGCAAAGGUUAAAAAAGUGGCAGCAAGCAAGGAAAAGAGCUAUGUGCUGAGAUUCAAGAGAGAAGGAAUCAAAUUGCGACAUGGGAUCGUAGUUUCUCACUAGAUACAAAACAGAGAAGAAACAAUAAAAGCUGUGCUGUCUUAAGAGGAAAAAGAAUCAAAGUGAGACAUUGGAUCCCUUAUUAGGCUGCCAUCUCAAGUGUACAUGCAGCGACAUUAACAUGGAGAAAGAAGCAAAGGAAAGCAGACUUUCGUUUAGAUGUUUCUUUAGUGGAUCACCUUUUUUGAAAGUAAGGUAGAUCUACAAGGCAAAGUUUCAGUGUCGCGAAAGAUUGUCAGGGCCGAGCUCGUAUUAGUGAAUUCUCAAAACUUGAGAGUCAAAAGAUGUCACUAGAAUUACUGUCAAAUUGUCUAGUAUCUGCCAAAUUGGUUAGCAUCUUGCUUGUUUUCGAGGGAGCCGUGAAUUGUACUUCCAGUUUGUAGCUUUAAAAUUAAGGCAGAAUAUUAGCACUACCUGGAGUUGUUUUUGCAACCUGAAUUGUCAGCUUGGAAGUCUCGUUAUUAAACUCGUUGAAAUAACUGUCUAAUUGUUUAGUAUCUAUUUCAAAAACUUAGUGUAAGCUUUCCAGUUUCGAAGGACGCAUUGCAUUCAUGUAAAGGUUGCGCUUUUAAAAGGGCCAAGAAACAAACUCGAGAAGUGGAAAAAUUGUCCUUAGGAAAAAAGGUCUGCGAUUUUAAAUGGUGUCUGGUUUGGGUCAAUCAUAUACCGAGUCUUUUGGCGGAAAAAAUCUUGCACUUUGCGAGAUUAUUCCCGACAAAACUCACAGUAUAUGUUUGAUUUCUGGCUAGACUCUGUUCAAAAGCGCAGAAUUUUUUUUCUUUUUGACAACCCUACAUAGU